GCGGGCGCGGCGGGGGCCUGAUGGACCGAGGGGGGCCCGGGGGGAUGUUCCGAGGCGGCCGUGGCGGAGACCGAGGGGGAUUCCGAGGUGGCCGGGGCAUGGACCGAGGCGGCUACGGAGGAGGCGGCCGGAGAGGAGGAGGAGGAGGCGGCCCCGGGGGACCCCCGGGACCCCUCAUGGAGCAGAUGGGAGGAGGAGGCAGAGGACGGCGCGGAGGGCCGGGAAAGAUGGACAAGGGCGAACACCGUCAGGAUCGCCGAGACCGGCCCUACUAACUCCGCCUCCCCAGAGCCGCAUUUACUACCAGAUUUAUUUUUUAAACCAGAAAAAAAAAAUGUUUUAAAUUUAUAAUUCCAUAUUUAUAAUGUUGGCCACAACAUUAUGAGUCCUCCUUGUCUGUACUUUAGUAUUUUUCACCGUUUGUGGAGAAACAUUAAAACCAAGUUCAAUGGUAGCGUGAAUUCUUCUUUCCCCCACCCCCCAAAAUAAAACCGGUUGUUUAACGCGCCCCCACCCCCCCACCCCGCCUGUAACGCUGUGAACGGUUGUGACGGUUGUUUUUUUAAAUAAAAUUCCCGCUGUUUGUAACCGC
Hirundo rustica (Barn swallow) is the source of this 592-nucleotide RNA transcript. RefSeq lists it as uncharacterized. The record is from RefSeq and is a predicted model, not a curated record. The transcript is spliced from 2 exons. Lineage: Eukaryota; Metazoa; Chordata; Aves; Passeriformes; Hirundinidae.